Molecule: ribosomal RNA, 429 nt
Filed under: Actinomycetes bacterium
Lineage: Bacteria; Bacillati; Actinomycetota; Actinomycetes
Description: Actinobacteria bacterium partial 16S ribosomal RNA
Rfam family: Bacterial small subunit ribosomal RNA
Source: RNAcentral
UAGGGAAUCUUCCGCAAUGGGCGAAAGCCUGACGGAGCAACGCCGCGUGAGUGAUGAAGGUCUUCGGAUCGUAAAACUCUGUUAUUAGGGAAGAACAAAUGUGUAAGUAACUAUGCACGUCUUGACGGUACCUAAUCAGAAAGCCACGGCUAACUACGUGCCAGCAGCCGCGGUAAUACGUAGGUGGCAAGCGUUAUCCGGAAUUAUUGGGCGUAAAGCGCGCGUAGGCGGUUUUUUAAGUCUGAUGUGAAAGCCCACGGCUCAACCGUGGAGGGUCAUUGGAAACUGGAAAACUUGAGUGCAGAAGAGGAAAGUGGAAUUCCAUGUGUAGCGGUGAAAUGCGCAGAGAUAUGGAGGAUCACCAGUGGCGAAGGCGACUUUCUGGUCUGUAACUGACGCUGAUGUGCGAAAGCGUGGGGAUCAAACAGG